CCUACGGGAGACAGCAGUGGGGAAUCUUGCGCAAUGGGCGGAAGCCUGAAGCAGCGACGCCGCGUGAGGGACGAAGGCCUUCGGGUCGUAAACCGCUUUCAGCAGGGAAGAGGCCCUCCCGGUGACGGUAUCUGCAGAAGAAGCCCGGGAUAACAACGUGCCAGAAGCCGCGGUAAUACGUCGGGGGCGAGCGUUAUCCGGAUUCGUUGGGCGUAAAGAGCGCGUAGGCGUCCCUUAAGGACGGGGGUCAAAGACCGGGGCUCAACCCCGGUCCGCCCCCGAUACCGGCAGGCUUGGGUCUGGGAGGGGAGUGCGGAAUUCCCAGUGUAGCGGUAGAAUGCGCAGAUAUUGGGAAGAACACCGGCGGCGAAGGCGGCCUUCUGGGCCACGACUGACGCUGAGGCGCGAAAGCUAGGGGAGCGAACAGGAUUAGAUACCCGGGUAGUC
Molecule: ribosomal RNA, 447 nt
Filed under: uncultured bacterium
Lineage: Bacteria
Description: partial 16S ribosomal RNA
Rfam family: Bacterial small subunit ribosomal RNA
Source: RNAcentral